RNAcentral lists this ribosomal RNA (466 nucleotides) under uncultured bacterium. RNAcentral describes it as "partial 16S ribosomal RNA". It matches the Rfam family "Bacterial small subunit ribosomal RNA", at positions 28 to 507 of the family's 1533-position model. The record is from RNAcentral.
GAUGAACGCUGGCGGCGUGCUUAACACAUGCAAGUCGAACGGAAAGGCCCAAGCUUGCUUGGGUACUCGAGUGGCGAACGGGUGAGUAACACGUGGGUGAUCUGCCCUGCACUUCGGGAUAAGCCUGGGAAACUGGGUCUAAUACCGGAUAGGACCACAUUUUGGAUGGUGUGGUGGAAAGUUUUUCGGUGUGGGAUGAGCUCGCGGCCUAUCAGCUUGUUGGUGGGGUAAUGGCCUACCAAGGAGUCGACGGGUAGCCGGCCUGGGAGGGUGUACGGCCACAUUGGGACUGAGAUACGGCCCAGACUCCUACGGGAGGCAGCAGUGGGGAAUAUUGCACAAUGGGCGCAAGCCUGAUGCAGCGACGCCGCGUGGGGGAUGACGGCCUUCGGGUUGUAAACUCCUUUCGCUAGGGACGAAGCGUUAUGUGACGGUACCUGGAGAAGAAGCACCGGCUAACUACGUG